AUGCACUUGGGUAGAAGAACCAGCUGUGCAGUGUCAAGACCCUUCCCUCAGAGACCUUAUCAGUAAAAUGGCGGGUGGACUCGGGGAUGCCCGAAGACUUUUCCGGACCACGAUUUUCCGAUGCUGGACACAUAUUUAAACAUGAAGGAAUAGACUUGCGACUUUUAAGCGCAAACAAUGGGUGGAAAUGGACAGAAACUGCCUCCGUGCCCACUUGCAGCGGACUACGUAGCCCUGGCAGACAGGCAAUUGCUUCAAACAAGCGCCCUCCAAGGGCGUAAGCUAGAGGGGCCCGGGCGGGCGCUUUCCCGUGGACCCUCCCACCUCGCGGGUAGAGGAAGUCCUUCAGUUCAGGCACAACCCUGAGCGUCCCCCGCAGUCUCCAACUCCGGCGCCAGUCAGGUUGUGGGGUGGGGGCGGCGGAGGGCGGAGAGCGCAGGCGCAGAGUCCGCGCGGCGGCGCCCCUCUCCCUCCGCAGUACUCCGGGCAGCGCCCGCCUCGAUUUUCCCAGGCGAGGGCACGCCCGCGUCAGUCGCCUCCGGGGCACCUUCCUCGCCACGACACGCAGGUAACCGGGCCCCGGGAGCCGGUCGGCGGCGGCGGACUGGGACCUUGAUCCUGCCUGCCCGGCCGCCCGACAAGGGAAUGAGAGCGGACCCCGAACUCCACACACCCGCGUUUAGCCGCCACACCUAAGGGGCACAACAGUCUUUUUGGGUAAGGGCCGGGCUGGGGGCGACGCGCCCCGCCCGCUUUGCAGACUUCGGGGUGCUCUGCACGACGCCUGAAAGGCCGCGGGGCCCGCAUUUCUCUGUGCUGCCCUCCUGGAGAACCGGGACACGGGGACGGGAGGGCCAGCAUCGGCUACGGCCCGGUUUCCCGUUUCUUUCCGCUGUCGCGUGUCUGGGCCCUCCUGCAGCGUCCAUGAUGAAGGCCAGGGGCUGUUGCUUUCCUCUCGCCCAGUAGCCAACCCAAGCAAGGGGUGAGUCACUGUGGCGUCAUAUGGGAUCAAUUUCAAAUACAAGUUUUAAAAAAGGCUGGAUGAUUUUAGAAAUAUGGCCAAGAAUUUGUAUUUUCCAUUACUCUCUUGUCUCAUGUCCAUGACUCUUGAACGCCAGUCUGUGGGCGCUGAGAUUUUCGUGGUACAUCGACGGUUUGUAGACAUCUUUUCCCAAGGGAAGACGAGGGCAAGGGUUAGUGGAGGAAGGGCCUCGUCACGGCCGAGAGUGGCGGAGAAGGCUCAGGGCAAGUCCGCACAGCCUCCAGCAGCCACGGGGAGGAAAAGGCGAAUCUUUCCUCACAGUGCUCUGGGCGCUGUAGAAUUUCUACGCCACGUGCACCCAUUUGGCCUCAUUUGAGAGGAGGAGAGGGAAGAAGGGUCGCGCGGGCCGGCAGGAAAGAGACUCGUGUUGCGGCGGAUGAAGGCUCAGCGCGGACCUGCAUCUCGGGCCAGGUUUUCUUUCACCCGGCUCCGCGAGGAGCGAGGCGGAAAGCUCGGGUCCGAGUGUUGAUCGAGGACCUGGAGAUAGUAACCCCCCACGUCCAGAGUGCUGGGGGUGGGUCCAGAGGGCUGGGGGUAGGUCCAGAGGGCUGGGGGUAGCUCCGGAGGAGCGAUCUUCCUCCGCGGGAAAGGACUUGGCUCAGGCUUGCCUAUGUCCGUGGUGCUGAAGUGCCUCGCGCGCCCUCGUCGACUGACUUCCUGGGCCGCGGCCUGCGUUGCCCUUCUACUCUGCACCUUUGCCAAAAAUAGCCCAUCUCCAUGGCUGGUGGCCAGAGUGGAGCAGGCCCAACACUGAAACUCUUUUCAGACAAGUUGAGGCUGGUUUCCUGAACAUAACCCGAAAGCAAAUGUGGCUUGCCUUGGAGAUUUAAAGCUCUUCAAUGAUGUAGCUCAAAAUGAAAGUUCUUUCAAUCCAACAACUUUGCAGAGAUGCUGAUCCCUCUCCCAGGUGAAUCCUGGCCAGGCCUUUCUGACAAUCCUGGGAUACCCUGGGGCCAGUAUAGAGUUCAAGGGCAGACCAGACUGGGGGAGGGGUUCCUGAGGGACCUGGAACCAGCAUCACCAGCACAGUCAGAAUUGCAACCUAGUGGCAAAGAUAACUGUGAGAACAAUCUCAAAGGUGGGGCCAGGACAGAAAUGGUAGAAUAAAUAGCAGAGCUUGUGAUGGUUAUUAUAGGAUGGGACAAAACUCAAGGAGCAGUUGUAGAAUGCAGUUCAGGACCAAGUCAUUAUUUUUGUUUAAUCAACUUUUAUUAAAUGUGCUCUGGGUGCCAGGAACGCAAAUAUGAAUGAGAGCUCUCUUGCCAUUAUGGAAUUCACAAAGGAGACUGUGACUUGGCAUGUUCCCUUUAGAUGGUGCCUGGAUUUGUUGGAGGAGUGGACAUGGCAGCUUAAAUGAGCCCUCUUGGGCUGUGCACAACCCAGAAAUUUCGAGGUGUGCCAGUGUGUCUGUCUAGUAUCAUUGUGGGAGGAUGUAGAGUCAUUCUAUGAUUGUUUCUGACAUCUCUGUAGCUCUGAGUCUUCUUAGAAGGAGCACUUUAAAAAUCAGAGUUCUGGGCCAGGCAUGGUGGCUCAUGCCUGUAAUCCCAGCACUUUGGGAGGCCAAGGUGGGCGGAUCAUGAGGUCAGGAGAUCAAGACCAUCCUGGCUAACACGGUGAAACCCCGUCUCUACUAAAAAUACAAAAAAUUAGCCAGGUGUGGUGGUGGCCGCCUGUAGUCCCAGCUACUCGGGAGGCUGAGGCAGGAGAAUGGCGUGAACCCGGGAGGCGGAGCUUGCAGUGAGCCGAGAUCGCGCCACUGCACUCCAGGCUGGGUGACAGUGCGAGACUCUGUCUC
RNAcentral lists this long non-coding RNA (2837 nucleotides) under Homo sapiens (human). Its description in RNAcentral is "non-protein coding lnc-SLC35G2-2:2". Lineage: Eukaryota; Metazoa; Chordata; Mammalia; Primates; Hominidae. The record is from RNAcentral.